This 253-nucleotide ribosomal RNA is filed under the name uncultured bacterium. Its description in RNAcentral is "partial 16S ribosomal RNA". It matches the Rfam family "Bacterial small subunit ribosomal RNA", at positions 524 to 776 of the family's 1533-position model. The record is from RNAcentral.
GACGAACCGUGCGAACGUUGUUCGGAAUUACUGGGCGUAAAGCGCGUGUAGGCGGCUCGGCAAGUCGGGUGUGAAAGCCCUGGGCUUAACCUAGGAAGUGCACUCGAAACUGCCAAGCUUGAGUUCUGGAGAGGAAGGCGGAAUUCUCGGUGUAGAGGUGAAAUUCGUAGAUAUCGAGAGGAACACCGGUGGCGAAGGCGGCCUUCUGGACAGCAACUGACGCUGAGACGCGAAAGCGUGGGGAGCAAACAGG